UUCAAGAGUACGUGAAACUGCUUAGGGGUUAAGCCCGAUGAACCUAAAUAUCCAUAAUGAAAAAUUCAUCAUUAAUAAUAUAUUAAUUUAUUGAUAUAUGAAUGGUGUGCAAUUUUUUCAUUAAAGGACAUUGUAAUCUGUUAAUAUAUAUUAAUAUAUAUUUAUCAAAAGGUUUGUAAGAUAAGUUUAUUCAUUAUUUAAUUUUUUUCGGAAUAUUAAUGGAAUAAUAUCUAUGCAAUACCGGAUAAAUAAUUAACAGAUUUUUCAGUAUAUAAUGCUAACAUUUUUUUUAAAAUGUUAUAAUGAAAAUAUAAUCAUGUUAUUAUUGUUUUUAUUAUAUGCAUUUAUAUGAUUAACAAUGCAAUAGAUUUAGGAUACCUUCGGGACCCGUCUUGAAACACGGACCAAGAAGUCUAACAUGUGUGCAAGUCAUUAGGUAUUUAUAUAAAACCUAAAGGCGUAAUUAACUUAACUUAAUAUUAAGAUGGGAUCAUUAUAUAUUUAUUUUAUAAAUAUAAAAUCCAUCCCGGGGCGUUCUAUAUAGUUAUGUAUUUUAAUAUUUUAUAUUAUAUAUACCUCUAACUGGAGCGUACCUUUAGCAUAUAUGCUGUGACCCGAAA
Molecule: ribosomal RNA, 620 nt
Filed under: Rachicerus sp. DK-2015
Lineage: Eukaryota; Metazoa; Arthropoda; Insecta; Diptera; Xylophagidae
Description: eukaryotic LSU rRNA
Source: RNAcentral